GCCAAAGCUCAGUAGCAGAGUAUCUGCUUUGCAUGCAGAAGGUCCCAAGUUCAGUCCCUGGCAUCUCCA
This is a non-coding RNA of Podarcis lilfordi (Lilford's wall lizard), 69 nucleotides long. The record is from the annotation of a GenBank genome assembly. Lineage: Eukaryota; Metazoa; Chordata; Lepidosauria; Squamata; Lacertidae.